CAAGGCUAAAUACUCCUGACUGACCGAUAGUGAACCAGUACCGUGAGGGAAAGGCGAAAAGAACCCCUGUGAGGGGAGUGAAAUAGAACCUGAAACCGUAUACGUACAAGCAGUGGGAGCGGUUCUUGAGACCGUGACUGCGUACCUUUUGUAUAAUGGGUCAGCGACUUACAUUUUGUAGCGAGGUUAAGCGAAUAGCGGAGCCGUAGGGAAACCGAGUGUUAACUGCGCGUUUAGUUGCAAGGUGUAGAC
This 252-nucleotide ribosomal RNA is filed under the name Shewanella sp. SR44-4. RNAcentral describes it as "partial 23S ribosomal RNA". It matches the Rfam family "Bacterial large subunit ribosomal RNA", at positions 461 to 714 of the family's 2925-position model. Lineage: Bacteria; Pseudomonadati; Pseudomonadota; Gammaproteobacteria; Alteromonadales; Shewanellaceae. The record is from RNAcentral.